RNAcentral lists this ribosomal RNA (319 nucleotides) under Hydrodynastes sp. RNAcentral describes it as "partial large subunit ribosomal RNA". It matches the Rfam family "Bacterial large subunit ribosomal RNA", at positions 2005 to 2539 of the family's 2925-position model. Lineage: Eukaryota; Metazoa; Chordata; Lepidosauria; Squamata; Dipsadidae. The record is from RNAcentral.
UGAGAGUCUAACUGUCUCUUUUAGUCAAUCAAUUAAACUGAUCUCCUAGUAAAAAAGCUAGAAUAUUUACAUAAGACCAGAAGACCCUGCGAAGCUUAAACCAAACUAUUAAAUCAUAUAAUAACUACUUUCGGUUGGGGCGACCUUGGAAAAAAAAAGAACUUCCAAACACAAUGAUUUUAAUCAUAUACUAGGCCCACAAGCCAUAAACUGACCCAGCUAAAGCUGAUAAUUGAACCAAGUUACUCCAGGGAUAACAGCGCUAUCUUCUUCAAGAGCCCAUAUCAAAAAGAAGGUUUACGACCUCGAUGUUGGAUCA